This 1041-nucleotide ribosomal RNA is filed under the name Peronosclerospora philippinensis. RNAcentral describes it as "partial large subunit ribosomal RNA". It matches the Rfam family "Eukaryotic large subunit ribosomal RNA", at positions 298 to 1139 of the family's 3401-position model. The record is from RNAcentral. Lineage: Eukaryota; Oomycota; Peronosporomycetes; Peronosporales; Peronosporaceae.
GGUAAAUUCCAUCUAAAGCUAAAUAUUGGUGCGAGACCGAUAGCAAACAAGUACCGUGAGGGAAAGAUGAAAAGAACUUUGAAAAGAGAGUUAAAGAGUACCUGAAACUGCUGAAAGGGAACCGAAUCGUUUCCAGUGUCUAUAAUCCGUGGUAUAUUUCAUUGGCGAGUGUGUGCGUGCGUGUAUUGUGGCAGUGGCUUUUAGCUGCGCUCGGUAUGUGUGCUGCGUGUACUUGCUAGUGCCCUGUGCUGCGGUGGGACGUCAAGGUCAGUUCGUAUACUGCGGGAAAUGGCUGCCGAGGAGGUAGGGCUUACGCUUGCGUUUGUCUAUUAUAUCUUGGCGGACGAGUAGUCGCGGUUGGGACUGAGGUGUCUACAACGUGCUUUUGAGUGGGUCUGCGUCUCCGUGUGCGCCGUGUGCGGAUAGCUUGCUAUGUGCGUGUGGCUGUGUAUGGAUUGAUGCGGACUUUAACUUGUUGCCGUUCGGGACGUUGACGAAAUGGAGCGAUCCGACCCGUCUUGAAACACGGACCAAGGAGUCUAACAUGUGUGCAAGUGUUAGGGUGUCGAAACCCCAGCGCGAAAUGAAAGUAAAGGUCAGCGCAAGCUGUCUGAGGUAGGAAACGUUGCGGAUUUCGGUCUGCGAUGUGGCACUAUCGACCGAUCAUGAUCCUUCGUGGUGAAAGAUUUGAGUUUGAGCACAUAUGUUGGUACCCGAAAGAUGGUGAACUAUGCCUGAGUAGGGUGAAGCCAGGGGAAACUCUGGUGGAAGCUCGUAGCGAUUCUGACGUGCAAAUCGAUCGUCAAACUUAGGUAUAGGGGCGAAAGACUAAUCGAACCAUCUAGUAGCUGGUUCCCUCCGAAAUUUCCCUCAGGAUAGCUGCAACUUAUUUACGAUAGUUUUAUGAGGUAAAGCGAAUGAUUAGAGGAUUCGGGGAAGCAACUUUCUCGACCUAUUCUCAAACUUUAAAUCUGUAAGACCCGUAGGUUUCUUAAUUGAACUUACGGACGUGAAUAUCAAGUUGCUAGUGGGCCAUACGGG